AGAGUUUGAUCCUGGCUCAGGAUGAACGCUAGCGGCAGGCUUAACACAUGCAAGUCGAGGGGCAGCGGGGAGGAAGCUUGCUUCUCCGCCGGCGACCGGCGCACGGGUGAGUAACACGUAUGCAACCUGCCCCUGUCAGGGGGACAACCCGCCGAAAGGCGGGCUAAACCCGCGUACAUGCCACCGGGGCAUCCCGGAGGCAGGAAAGGCUUCGGCCGGACAGGGAUGGGCAUGCGGCGCAUUAGGCAGUAGGCGGGGUAACGGCCCACCUAACCGACGAUGCGUAGGGGUUCUGAGAGGAAGGUCCCCCACACUGGUACUGAGACACGGACCAGACUCCUACGGGAGGCAGCAGUGAGGAAUAUUGGUCAAUGGUCGGGAGACUGAACCAGCCAAGCCGCGUGAGGGAGGAAGGUACAGAGUAUCGUAAACCUCUUUUGUCAGGGAACAAAGGCGGGGACGUGUCCCCGGAUGAGUGUACCUGAAGAAAAAGCAUCGGCUAACUCCGUG
This 510-nucleotide ribosomal RNA is filed under the name uncultured Bacteroidales bacterium. RNAcentral's name for it is "bacterial SSU rRNA". It matches the Rfam family "Bacterial small subunit ribosomal RNA", at positions 8 to 507 of the family's 1533-position model. Lineage: Bacteria; Pseudomonadati; Bacteroidota; Bacteroidia; Bacteroidales. The record is from RNAcentral.